Molecule: ribosomal RNA, 515 nt
Filed under: uncultured bacterium
Lineage: Bacteria
Description: partial 16S ribosomal RNA
Rfam family: Bacterial small subunit ribosomal RNA
Source: RNAcentral
GAUGAACGCUGGCGGCGUGCCUAAUACAUGCAAGUCGAGCGAAUGGAUUAAGAGCUUGCUCUUAUGAAGUUAGCGGCGGACGGGUGAGUAACACGUGGGUAACCUGCUCAUAAGACUGGGAUAACUACGGGAAACGGGGGCUAAUACCGGACAACAUUUUGAACCGCAUGGUUCGAAUUUGAAAGGCGGCUCCGGCUGUUACUUAUGGAUGGACCCGCGUCGCAUGAGCUAGUUGGUGAGGUGACGGCUAACCAAGGCAACGAUGCGUAGCCGACCUGAGAGGGUGAUCGGCCGCACGGGGACUGAGACACGGCCCAGACUCCUACGGGAGGCAGCAGUAGGGAAUCUUCCGCAAUGGACGAAAGUCUGACGGAGCAACGCCGCGUGAGUGAUGAAGGCUUUCGGGUCGUAAAACUCUGUUGUUAGGGAAGAACAAGUGCUAGUUGAAUAAGCUGGCACCUUGACGGUACCUAACCAGAAAGCCACGGCUAACUACGUGCCAGCAGCCGCAGUAA